Potamilus streckersoni is the source of this 71-nucleotide non-coding RNA. The record is from the annotation of a GenBank genome assembly. NCBI's taxonomy places the organism in Eukaryota, Metazoa, Mollusca, Bivalvia, Unionida, Unionidae.
GGUGACCUAAGUGGUUAAAGUGUCUGCUUCAAAUGUGGGAGGUCGCAGGUUCGAACCCAUGCCGAGAAACA